AGAGUUUGAUCAUGGCUCAGGAUGAACGCUGGCGGCGUGCCUAACACAUGCAAGUCGAACGAAGCGCAUUUACUGAUUUCCUCCGGGAAUGACGUAGCUGUGACUGAGUGGCGGACGGGUGAGUAACGCGUGGAUAACCUGCCCUGCACAGGGGGAUAACAGCCAGAAAUGGCUGCUAAUACCGCAUAAGCGCACGAAACCGCAUGGGUUUCGCGUGAAAAGCUGAGGCGGUGCGGGAUGGGUCCGCGUCUGAUUAGCCAGUUGGCGGGGUAACAGCCCACCAAAGCGACGAUCAGUAGCCGGCCUGAGAGGGCGACCGGGCACAUUGGGACUGAGACACGGCCCAGACUCCUACGGGAGGCAGCAGUGGGGAAUAUUGCACAAUGGGGGAAACCCUGAUGCAGCGACGCCGCGUGAGCGAAGAAGUAUUUCGGUAUGUAAAGCUCUAUCAGCAGGGGAGAAGAUGACGGUACCUGACUAAGAAGCUCCGGCUAAAUACGUGCCAGCAGCCGCGGUAAUACGUAUGGGAGCAAGCGUUAUCCGGAUUUACUGGGUGUAAAGGGAGCGUAAGGCGGCAUGGCAAGUCUGAUGUGAAAAUCCCGGGCUCACCCCGGGUCUGCAUUGGAAACUGCAGGCUGGAGUGUCGGAGGGGUAAGCGGAAUUCCUAGUGUAGCGGUGGAAUGCGUAGAUAUUAGGAGGAACACCAGCGGCGAGGCGCUUACUGGACGACAACUGACGCUGAGCUCGAAAGCGUGGGGGAGCAAACAGAUAGAUACCCUGGUAGUCACGCGUAACGAUGA
This 800-nucleotide ribosomal RNA is filed under the name uncultured bacterium. RNAcentral's name for it is "bacterial SSU rRNA". It matches the Rfam family "Bacterial small subunit ribosomal RNA", at positions 8 to 812 of the family's 1533-position model. The record is from RNAcentral.